RNAcentral lists this ribosomal RNA (387 nucleotides) under Triticum aestivum (bread wheat). Its description in RNAcentral is "partial small subunit ribosomal RNA". Lineage: Eukaryota; Viridiplantae; Streptophyta; Magnoliopsida; Poales; Poaceae. The record is from RNAcentral.
CAAAGCAUUCAGACGAAGGCAUAUACAAAGGAUGAGGACAAACUCCUUUGUGAAUGUUGGAGAGACAUUGGACAAGACCCCAAGAUCGGCGCCGAGCAAAAGGCACCAACCUUUUGGCUAAGUGUUCAUCGCCAAUUUCAUGAGUGCAAGAAGUUCGCGCCAUACAAGAUGGAGAGCAAGCGUGGGUGGGUGUCCCUCUCAAAGCGUCGAAGGGUCAUACAACAAGAGUGCAAUAAGUUUUGUGCCACCCUUGAGAGCAUCGAAGGCCGUCCCAUGAGUGGCUUCGGCAUCAAAGACAUGGUAUACAUUCCUCCACCUUCGUUUUUGUUGUUUCAUGCUUGCCUGACCGUUGCCCAUAUGAAUAUGCAUUCUUGUCUUCAUUUGUAG